Molecule: ribosomal RNA, 460 nt
Filed under: uncultured bacterium
Lineage: Bacteria
Description: partial 16S ribosomal RNA
Rfam family: Bacterial small subunit ribosomal RNA
Source: RNAcentral
CCUACGGGUGGCAGCAGUAGGGAAUUUUGCGCAAUGGGCGAAAGCCUGAACCAGCCAAGUCGCGUGAGGGAAGACGGUCCUAUGGAUUGUAAACCUCUUUAGGCGGGGAGCAAUGCCGGGCACGUGUGCCCGGAGGGAGAGUACCCGCAGAAUAAGCAUCGGCUAACUCCGUGCCAGCAGCCGCGGUAAUACGGAGGAUGCGAGCGUUAUCCGGAUUUAUUGGGUUUAAAGGGUGCGUAGGCGGAUUUUUAAGUCAGCGGUAAAAUGUCCGGGCUCAACCCGGGCCGGCCGUUGAAACUGGGGAGCUUGAGUGGGCGAGAAGUAUGCGGAAUGCGUGGUGUAGCGGUGAAAUGCAUAGAUAUCACGCAGAACUCCGAUUGCGAAGGCAGCAUACCGGCGCCCGACUGACGCUGAGGCACGAAAGCGUGGGGAUCGAACAGGAUUAGAUACCCGGGUAGUC